Molecule: ribosomal RNA, 264 nt
Filed under: uncultured bacterium
Lineage: Bacteria
Description: partial 16S ribosomal RNA
Rfam family: Bacterial small subunit ribosomal RNA
Source: RNAcentral
GUCCACGCCGUAAACGAUGAUAACUAGCUGUCCGGGCACUUGGUGUCUGGGUGGCGCAGCUAACGCAUUAAGUUAUCCGCCUGGGGAGUACGGUCGCAAGAUUAAAACUCAAAGGAAUUGACGGGGGCCUGCACAAGCGGUGGAGCAUGUGGUUUAAUUCGAAGCAACGCGCAGAACCUUACCAGCGUUUGACAUCCCGCGCUACCCAGAGAGAUUUGGGGGUUCCCUUCGGGGACGCGGUGACAGGUGCUGCAUGGCUGUCGU